UCGACCCCUUUAACCAUACUGAGAACUUCUAUAAAAUUAUAGAACCUUUUAUGCUAAAACUAGUAACAAGAGGUAACCCCUCUCUACAAUGUAGGUAUACGCCAGCAAGAACCCCCCACUGGCAACUGACAGUCCUAAAUAGAAGUAGCAACCCCCCAAGAAAACCCUACUCCACCUCACUGUUAACCUAAUACCAGGACAUUUCAAGAAAGAUUAAAAGAAAGAGAAGGAACUCGGCAAACAUUAGCCCCGCCUGUUUACCAAAAACACCGCCUCUUGUUCCUAUAAGAGGUCUAGCCUGCCCAGUGACUUCUGUUUAACGGCCGCGGUAUCCUAACCGUGCAAAGGUAGCGUAAUCACUUGUCUUCUAAAUAAAGACCAGUAUGAAAGGCAUCACGAGGACUAAACUGUCUCCUCUCCCUAAUCAGUGAACCUAAUAACCCCGUGAAGAAGCGGGGAUUUUUAUAUAAGACGAGAAGACCCUAUGGAGCUUAAAACAUCACACACCUGCCACCCCAUUUUAUUUACCCAGGUUCCUCCCCCGUGGCACCCUGAUAGUAUGUUUUUGGUUGGGGUGACCGCGGAGAAAAACCCAUCCUCCACAAUGAAGGGGACUUCCCUAAACAGUAAGCCACAACUUUAUGUAUCAGCAAACUGACAUCCAUUGACCCAAUAUAUUUGAUUAACGAACCAAGUUACCCUAGGGAUAACAGCGCAAUCCACUUUGAGAGCCCCUAUCGACAAGUGGGCUUACGACCUCGAUGUUGGAUCGGGGUAUCCUGGUGGUGCAGCCGCUACU
Molecule: ribosomal RNA, 799 nt
Filed under: Pristimantis leoni (Leon's robber frog)
Lineage: Eukaryota; Metazoa; Chordata; Amphibia; Anura; Strabomantidae
Description: partial large subunit ribosomal RNA
Rfam family: Bacterial large subunit ribosomal RNA
Source: RNAcentral